This 1144-nucleotide ribosomal RNA is filed under the name metagenome. Its description in RNAcentral is "bacterial LSU rRNA". It matches the Rfam family "Archaeal large subunit ribosomal RNA", at positions 1635 to 2762 of the family's 2987-position model. The record is from RNAcentral.
GUAAUGACGAGAACUGAAUCGAGGCAGGAAUGGCUCUGCGUUAGCAGAGUUUUCUCGAAUCCAGGAGACCAUGAAAGAUCAUAUAGAAAGUGUUAGCAAGUUCGUACCGAGAACCGACACAGGUGCGCUGGCUUAGAAAGCUAAGGUGCUACGGGUAUACCGUAUGGCGAGGGAAUUCGGCAAAUUAGUCCUGUAGCUUAGGUAUAAGGGAUACCUGCUGUUUUAAUGAGGAAUUGGGACAGCAGGUUGCAAUGACUAGGGGGUUCCGACUGUUUAAUAAAAACACAGGCGACUGCUAGUCCGAAAGGAUUUGUAUAGUCGCUGAAUCCUGGCCGGUGCAGGUACCUAAAACUUGGGUUCAACCGAGCUAAGGGCCUGUUAACGCCGGGAGUAACUCUGACUCUCUUAAGGUAGCCAAAUGCCUUGUCGGGUAAGUUCCGACGCGCAUGAAUGGAACAACGAGAGCCCCACUGUCCCCGCCUACAACCCGGUGAAGCCACAUAAGGUGGACGAACAGUCCAUCAUCUUCCAUCGGGGAGAGAAGACCCCGUGGAGUUUUACUGCAGCUUGUGCUUGUAGUAUAGUACGAAUUACAUAGUGUAUCUGGUAGCCAUGCCUGAAUUUCUUUGGGAAUUCAGUGAAGCGACGAUGUAACACCAGAUUAUUUUUGCAGUACUUCUAAUCUGGUUCAUACCAGAAACAGGUGCAGGUGGGCAGUUCGGCUGGGGCGGCACCCCUUUGAAAAGAUAUCAAAGGGUCCCAAAGUUUAGUUCAAACGGGUCAGAAAUCCGUUGAAGAGGGCAAAGCCAAAAACUAGACUGACAGGAUUUCCAAACGCACGGAAUUCUGAGACGAAAGUCUGGCUUAGCGAUCCUUCGUGUGCCCACUAUUGGGGCCCGGAGGUGACAGAAAAAUUACCCCAGGGAUAACAGGCUCGUCGCGGGCGAGAGCUCCUAUCGACCCCGCGGUUUGGUACCUCGAUGUCGGCUUUUCCUAUCCUGGUCCUGCAGCAGGGGCCAAGGGUGAGGCUGCUCGCCUAUUAAAAGGGAACAUGAGCUGGGUUUAGACCGUCGUGAGACAGGUCGGUCUCUGCCUGAUGGAAGCGCGGCUGUCUGAGGGGAAGUUGCUCUCAGUACGAGAGGAA